This 497-nucleotide ribosomal RNA is filed under the name uncultured bacterium. RNAcentral describes it as "partial 16S ribosomal RNA". It matches the Rfam family "Bacterial small subunit ribosomal RNA", at positions 28 to 507 of the family's 1533-position model. The record is from RNAcentral.
GAUGAACGCUGGCGGCGUGCCUAAUACAUGCAAGUCGAGCGAACGGACGAGAAGCUUGCUUCUCUGAUGUUAGCGGCGGACGGGUGAGUAACACGUGGAUAACCUACCUAUAAGACUGGGAUAACUUCGGGAAACCGGAGCUAAUACCGGAUGAUAUUUUGAACCGCAUUGUUCAAAAGUGAAAGACGGUCUUGCUGUCACUUAUAGAUUGAUCCGCGCUGCAUUAGCUAGUUGGUAAGGUAACGGCUUACCAAGGCAACGAUGCAUAGCCGACCUGAGAGGGUGAUCGGCCACACUGGAACUGAGACAGGGUACAGACUCCUACGGGAGGAAGCAGUAGGGAAUCUUACGCAAUGGGCGAAAGCCUGACGGAGCAACGCCGCGUGAGUGAUGAAGGUCUUCGGAUCGUAAAACUCUGUUAUUAGGGAAGAACAUAUGUGUAAGUAACUGUGAACAUCUUGACGGUACCUAAUCAGAAAGCCACGGCUAACUCCGUG